This 420-nucleotide ribosomal RNA is filed under the name uncultured Glomeraceae. RNAcentral describes it as "SSU rRNA". It matches the Rfam family "Eukaryotic small subunit ribosomal RNA", at positions 459 to 886 of the family's 1831-position model. Lineage: Eukaryota; Fungi; Glomeromycota; Glomeromycetes; Glomerales; Glomeraceae. The record is from RNAcentral.
GGGAGGUAGUGACAAUAAAUAACAAUACGGGGUUCUUCGAAUCUCGUAAUUGGAAUGAGUACAAUUUAAAUCUCUUAACGAGGAACAAUUGGAGGGCAAGUCUGGUGCCAGCAGCCGCGGUAAUUCCAGCUCCAAUAGCGUAUAUUAAAGUUGUUGCAGUUAAAAAGCUCGUAGUUGAAUUUCGGGAUCAGCAGGUUGGUCUUGCCACUGGUAUGUACUAGCUUGCUGAUUCCUCCUUCUUGUAGAACCGUAAUGCCAUUAAUUUGGUGUUGCGGGGAAACAGGACUGUUACUUUGAAAAAUUAGAGUGUUUAAAGCAGGCUAACGCUUGAAUACAUUAGCAUGGAAUAAUGAAAUAGGACGUUUGAUCCUAUUUUGUUGGUUUCUAGGAUUGACGUAAUGAUUAAUAGGGAUAGUUGGG